GCUCAGGACGAACGCUGGCGGCGUGCCUAAUACAUGCAAGUCGAACGCUUCCUACCGGUGCUUGCACCGGGAAAGAAGAGUGGCGGACGGGUGAGUAACACGUGGGUAACCUACCUACAAGCGGGGGAUAACAUUCGGAAACGGAUGCUAAUACCGCAUAGAUCUUUUUGUCUCCUGGCAGAAAGAAGAAAGACGGUUUCGGCUGUCACUUGAAGAUGGACCCGCGGCGCAUUAGUUAGUUGGUGAGGUAAUGGCUCACCAAGACGAUGAUGCGUAGCCGACCUGAGAGGGNGAUCGGCCACACUGGGACUGAAGACACGGCCCAGACUCCUACGAGGAGACAGCAGUAGGGAAUCUUCCGCAAUGGACGAAAGUCUGACGGAGCAACGCCGCGUGAGUGAAGAAGGUUUUCGGAUCGUAAAACUCUGUUGUUAGAGAAGAACAAGGAUGAGAGUAACUGCUCGUCCCUUGACGGUAUCUAACCAGAAAGCCAUGGCUAACUACGUGCCAGCAGCCGCGGUAAUACGUAGAUGGCAAGCGUUGUCCGGAUUUAUUGGGCGUAAAGCGAGCGCAGGCGGUUCUUUAAGUCUGAUGUGAAAGACCCCUGGCUCAACCAGGGAGGGUCAUUGGAAACUGGAGAACUUGAGUGCAGAAGAGGAAAGUGGAAUUCCAUGUGUAGCGGUGAAAUGCGUAGAUAUAUGGAGGAACACCAGUGGCGAAGGCGACUUUCUGGUCUGUAACGACGCUGAGGCUCGANAGCAGUGNGGAGCAAACAGGAUUAGAUACCCUGGUAGUCCAUNCCGUAAACGAUGAGUGCUAAGUGUUGGAGGGUUUCCGCCCNUCAGUGCUGGCAGCUAACGCAUUAAGCACUCCGCCUGGGGAGUACGACCGCAAGGUUGAAACUCAAAGGAAUUGACGGGGGCCCGCACAAGCGGUGGAGCAUGUGGNUUAAUUCGAAGCAACGCGAAGAACCUUACCAGGUCUUGACAUCCUUUGACCACUCUAGAGAUAGAGCUUUCCCUUCGGGGACAAAGUGACAGGUGGUGCAUGGUGUCGUCAGCUCGUGUCGUGAGAUGUUGGGUUAAGUCCCGCAACGAGCGCAACCCUUGAGAUUAGUUGCCAGCAUUCAGUUGGGCACUCUAAUCUGACUGCCGGUGACAAACCGGAGGAAGGUGGGGAUGACGUCAAAUCAUCAUGCCCCUUAUGACCUGGGCUACACACGUGCUACAAUGGAUGGAACAAAGGGCAGCGAAACCGUGAGGGCAAGCAAAUCCCAUAAAACCAUUCUCAGUUCGGAUUGCAGGCUGCAACUCGCCUGCAUGAAGCCGGAAUCGCUAGUAAUCGCGGAUCAGCAUGCUGCGGUGAAUACGUUCCCGGGUCUUGUACACACCGCCCGUCACACCACGAGAGUUGGUAACACCCGAAGUCGGUGAGGUAACACAAUACGUGAGCCAGCCGCCGAAGGUGGGACCAAUGAUUGGGGUGAAGUCGUAACAAGGUAACCGU
RNAcentral lists this ribosomal RNA (1506 nucleotides) under uncultured bacterium. RNAcentral's name for it is "bacterial SSU rRNA". It matches the Rfam family "Bacterial small subunit ribosomal RNA". The record is from RNAcentral.